GACGUAGGGGGCCAGCGUUGUUCGGAAUUACUGGGUGUAAAGGGUUCGUAGGCGGUGUGGCAAGUCGGGAGUGAAAUCUCUGGGCUCAACUCAGAGACUGCUUCCGAAACUGCUGUGCUGGAGUGUGGGAGAGGCGCGUGGAAUUGCAGGUGUAGCGGUGAAAUGCGCAGAUAUCGGGAGGAACACCGGUGGCGAAGGCGGUUCUCUGGGACGGUACUGACGCUGAGACGCGAAAGCGUGGGGAGCGAACAGG
This 253-nucleotide ribosomal RNA is filed under the name uncultured bacterium. Its description in RNAcentral is "partial 16S ribosomal RNA". It matches the Rfam family "Bacterial small subunit ribosomal RNA", at positions 524 to 776 of the family's 1533-position model. The record is from RNAcentral.